Molecule: unclassified non-coding RNA, 519 nt
Filed under: uncultured Glomus
Lineage: Eukaryota; Fungi; Glomeromycota; Glomeromycetes; Glomerales; Glomeraceae
Description: SSU rRNA
Rfam family: Eukaryotic small subunit ribosomal RNA
Source: RNAcentral
AGCAGCCGCGGUAAUUCCAGCUCCAAUAGCGUAUAUUAAAGUUGUUGCAGUUAAAAGCUCGUAGUUGAAUUUCGGGAUCAAUUAAUCGGUCGUGCCUCUGGUACGCACUGGUUUUAUUGGUUUCUCCCUUCUGACGAACCAGGAUGUCAUUAAUUUGGUGUCUUGGAGAAUCAGGACUGUUACUUUGAAAAAUUGAGUGUUUAAAGCAGGCUAACGCUUGAAUACAUUAGCAUGGAAUAAUGAAAUAGGACGUUUGAUCCUAUUUUGUUGGUUUCUAGGAUCGACGUAAUGAUUAAUAGGGAUAGUUGGGGGCAUUAGUAUUCAAUUGUCAGAGGUGAAAUUCUUGGAUUUAUUGAAGACUAACUACUGCGAAAGCAUUUGCCAAGGAUGUUUUCAUUAAUCAAGAACGAAAGUUAGGGGAUCGAAGACGAUCAAAUACCGUCGUAGUCUUAACCAUAAACUAUGCCGACUAGGGAUCGGAUGAUGUUAAUUUUCUAAUGACUCAUUCGGCGCCUUAAC